UACGAGCUCCUGGAGUUCAGACACCCGUCAUUGUGCGUUUCUCCACUGUCAUUCAUGAACGUGGUAGCCCUGAAACCUUGAGAGACCCUCGAGGUUUUGCUGUGAAAUUUUACACCAGAGAGGUAGAAAUUAAUGAAUAUAUAGCAUCAUUUUAUAUCUCCAUAUCUUCUAGUGACUAAAUACAGUUACUGUAGCAGUUCGAAUUUUGUUCACAUGUUCUUUUUAAGCAACUCCAGUUUAGUUGGUAAAAUGCUGAUAAUAGUUUCAACACGAUCAUACAAGCAAAAGAUGCAUAAUGUGAUUUAACCCCAUAUGUAGCAUUUAAUUAAACAAUCUGGUCUAGUGAUUUGAUUAUUCGAUUACCUGAAAAAAUUGAAGACAUGCAUUGUUGGUUUGAGUCCAGCAUUGUCUAAAUCCUUUGUACUUUGAAAUUUCAAGCUAGAGAUAAAGAUUAUGUAGCAUAAUUAAAAAUUAUCUUCCAGUGACUAAAUAUAAUUACAGUAUUAGUUUAAAAUUGCGUCAUUUAUGAAUGUAGUUGCAGUUGUAACCAGGAUGCUAGUGUAUUUGCUUAAAUGCUGACAAUAAUUGUUUUAGAAGAGGUGAUAUGGAACAGUUGGAGUCUUGUACCAUAAAUUAUUCUUAUCUUUACCUUCUGAACACAGGGUAACUUUGACCUUGUUGGAAACAACUUUCCUGUCUUCUUCGUUCACGACGGGAUGAAUUUUCCAGAUAUGGUCCAUGCUCUUAAACCCAACCCCAAGUCCCACAUUCAGGAGAAUUGGAGAAUCCUUGACUUCUUUUCUCACUUUCCAGAAAGCCUUCACAUGUUCUCCUUCCUAUUUGAUGAUGUGGGUGUCCCAC
This 861-nucleotide long non-coding RNA is filed under the name Medicago truncatula (barrel medic). Its description in RNAcentral is "long non-coding RNA (MTRU_LNC001315)". The record is from RNAcentral. Lineage: Eukaryota; Viridiplantae; Streptophyta; Magnoliopsida; Fabales; Fabaceae.